GCGAGAUUUGUCGGCGCAGGCGCAGUGAGCAGGAUGAGUCUUGGAGAAGUGCUGGUACUUAGUACCCUUGAGUGCCGGCAGAGGAAAAGCCUUGUUUUGAUGGCUUUAAAAGUUUCGUGCUGCAGCCUGUGAUUGCUGCUCGAGCUUAUGAGCCGCGGCUUGGAGGCCAGAUCCCCCCGCGGGGCCAGCGCACGGUGCCGGGGCUCUCACAUUUAGCUGGAGAUAAAGUAUCAUGCGAGUUAAGUGAGGUGAGAGCUAUCCCAGAGGAGCCCAAUGAGUGGAAUACAGUCUGCGGCCUCGGACAGGUUUCAUGCAAGAAAACCAACCAGGCACGGGAGCAUUUUAGGCAGCGACGCAGCAGAUAAGAAGCAGAAGUUUGAACGAAGUUCAUCCCAUGACGUUGGAUUGCAUGACUUUGACC
Molecule: long non-coding RNA, 421 nt
Organism: Nanorana parkeri
Lineage: Eukaryota; Metazoa; Chordata; Amphibia; Anura; Dicroglossidae
Exons: 3
Source: RefSeq, a predicted model, not a curated record